AUGGGAAGGCCGGAGCACGAUGGGGCUGCGUCGCCGUUCGGGUUCGGCCCGUCCCCGCCUCUCUCCGGCGCGUCGUCCCCUUCGCCGCUGCUACCGGCACCCAACCACGCCAAGGCGAGGUUUGCGGGAAGGAGGAGGCACGCCGUCGUCAGGCUCAUCUGCUCCCCCUUCGCCGCCGUCUUCGGAACCGCGUGCUCCGCCGGCGCAGCUGCGAACGACGUCGACCGGGCGACGAGAAGGCCGAGCCUCGAGGAGCUCCUGCGGAUGGAAGCGUCGUCGUCCGAUCUCCUCGACGUCAAGCAGCCCAACGAACCUGCCGAGAUGGUCGACCCGUACGACGACGACGACGACGGCUCCUGGAAGAAGAGCGCCAUCGUGGUGUUCGAUCUAAGCGAAGGCGGCGACAAGAACCGCCGCAUCGAGGACGAGAAUGACGAGGCGCCGCUGGCCGUCUCAGAAGACCAGCACGGCGCCAUGACCUGCCCCGGCGACGUGAAGGAGCCCGCGGAGGAGCUCGACGCCGGCGGCGCCAUGAUGUCGCCGAAGGCGCUGGUGAACGUGGGGAGGCUGGUGGUCGUCCUCGCGUCGCUGGGGGCGCGCUCCAGGGCGCUGAAGGGCUCGUACGGCAGGCUGGCAGCCGGUCGCCGUGUCGGCGGUGCCAAUGAUGGCAAGGCGGAGCUGUUCUACGACCGGCCGAUCCCGCUGGGGCGGAGGUGCCGGGUGCAGCACCUGGAGGAGUCCCCUUACCUGUGA
Molecule: ribosomal RNA, 753 nt
Filed under: Triticum aestivum (bread wheat)
Lineage: Eukaryota; Viridiplantae; Streptophyta; Magnoliopsida; Poales; Poaceae
Description: partial small subunit ribosomal RNA
Source: RNAcentral